Molecule: long non-coding RNA, 695 nt
Organism: Zonotrichia leucophrys gambelii
Lineage: Eukaryota; Metazoa; Chordata; Aves; Passeriformes; Passerellidae
Exons: 3
Source: RefSeq, a predicted model, not a curated record
CAAGCGCCCGCACCGCGCCCGCACCGCGCCCGCACCGCCCGGGCACUGCUGGGGCACUGCCCGGGCACCACCGAGAGGCUCCGGCCGGGGAGGGGCCGGGCACGGGCAGGGCAUGGCCGUGCGAAAGGUGUGAACGGGUUUUUGGAAGGAAACGUCUAAAUUGGAUGAAAAACCUUUAAUGCCGACAGCCGGAGCAGCUGGAAGGACAAAUAUAGCCGGAGAGGAGGAGGAGGAGGAGGAGGAGGAGGACGGGGACGCGGUGGGAGGUGGUGGCCGUGCCGAGAGCGACACCUGGUGACAGUCACCCCCCCCACCACCACCCCGGACACGCGUGUGAACACGCGUGUGCCAGCGCAGGUGUGCGCGCACCUUGUCACACGCGUGUGCCCGCCCGGGAGGUGCGAGGCCUUCUCCAGGAUGCUCCGGAAUGCGAUGGACGGCGCCACCACCGCAACCCCAGCGCCGUGAGGGCACGGCGAGGAUGAGGAGGAAGAAGAGCGGUGCCAGAUGCCACAUUUCGAUCCCAUGGAGCCGGGAAGGGUGGGAUGGAGCGGGCAGGAACGCCGGCAUGGAGCAAACACGGGAAUAAUCCAAGCGGGGAAGAGCCGAACGCCGGAGAGAUUUACAGCGGGCAGCCCCCCGGCCAUUUGGCACGGCAGCUGCUGCCGAGGAAGUUCAAUGCCAAAAUAAAUUAA